AAACGUUCUCCUUUCCUUCUUUUCUUCCCUAUUUAGUUUGAACAAAACUGUUUUCCCAGUAGAAAGGAGUUUUAUCUCCCUGUUCCACAUUUCUUCCCUCACAGCUUGUUUGAUCCCUGGCUGCCUUCUCGUCCCUUCAAUGUGUGCAGAAGAUCACCUGCUGAGCUGCACGGCUCAUGCCCAGGAAUCAGGACAGACUCCCGAUGCCUAAAGACGGCCUGUGUGAGGCUGCUCUUGCAUCGCUUUAAAGAAAUACUGGAGGCAUUUAGGUAACUUACAAAGAAAAAAGGUUUAAUUGACUCAUGGUUCUACAGGGUGUACAGGGAGCAUGGUGCCAGCAUCUGCUUCUGAUGAGGCCUCAGGAAGCUUCCAAUCAUGGCAAAACGUGAAGUGGGAGCAGACACAUCACAUGAUGCUGACAUCUUUCGAGAUGAUUGAUUCAUCCCUGACAAGAGAAGACUCUCAGGGGGUUCCAGCUGCCCACCGCUCAGACAAUACCGAUUUGCAGGUGCUGACGCCAAUCCCGCCAGUUUGAUUUGGACGUAGCAGGUGAGCCGAGAGCACUUUAAUAAUGAGAAGCCGGGAAUUUCUAAGCACAUCGCUAUCUC
Molecule: long non-coding RNA, 608 nt
Filed under: Homo sapiens (human)
Lineage: Eukaryota; Metazoa; Chordata; Mammalia; Primates; Hominidae
Description: non-protein coding LINC00299:2
Source: RNAcentral